UCCGUAGGUGAACCUGCGGAAGGAUCAUUAACGAGUUAGGGUCUUUCAGGCCCGACCUCCCAACCCUUUGUUUAUUGAACCUCUGUUGCUUCGGCGGACCCGCCUCACGGCCGCCGGAGGACCGCCGCAAGGCGUCCUCUGGCCCGCGUCUGUCGAUAGCCAACCCUAAACUCUGAAUCAAUCGUGUCAUAUGUCUAAGUCUAUGAUUAAAUUAUAAGCAAAACUUUCAACAACGGAUCUCUUGGUUCUGGCAUCGAUGAAGAACGCAGCGAAAUGCGAUAAGUAAUGCGAAUUGCAGAAUUCCAGUGAGUCAUCGAAUCUUUGAACGCACAUUGCGCCCUUUGGUAUUCCGAAGGGCAUGCCUGUUCGAGCGUCAUUAUCACCCCUCAAGCCCCGUGCUUGGUGUUGGACGGCCGGUCGAGCGAUCGACCCCUCCUAAAGACAAUGACGGCGGCCUGUGGUUCCCCCGGUACACUGAGCUUUUAACGGAGCACGUACCGGACCAGGGCACCCAGGACCCGGUCCUCUCCUUUCACUAGGAAACUUCUAAGGUUGACCUCGGAUCAGGUAGGAAUACGCGCUGAACUUAAGCAUAUCAAUAAGCGCAGGAAAAGAAACCAACC
RNAcentral lists this ribosomal RNA (623 nucleotides) under uncultured Cladophialophora. RNAcentral's name for it is "eukaryotic LSU rRNA". The stretch from base 222 to 376 matches the Rfam family "5.8S ribosomal RNA". The record is from RNAcentral. Lineage: Eukaryota; Fungi; Ascomycota; Eurotiomycetes; Chaetothyriales; Herpotrichiellaceae.